Molecule: non-coding RNA, 74 nt
Organism: Pantoea dispersa
Lineage: Bacteria; Pseudomonadati; Pseudomonadota; Gammaproteobacteria; Enterobacterales; Erwiniaceae
Source: Rfam
GCGUCCGUAGCUCAGUUGGUUAGAGCACCACCUUGACAUGGUGGGGGUCGGUGGUUCGAGUCCACUCGGACGCA